This 492-nucleotide ribosomal RNA is filed under the name uncultured bacterium. RNAcentral describes it as "partial 16S ribosomal RNA". It matches the Rfam family "Bacterial small subunit ribosomal RNA", at positions 29 to 507 of the family's 1533-position model. The record is from RNAcentral.
AGUGAACGCUGGCGGUAGGCCUAACACAUGCAAGUCGAACGGCAGCACAGUAAGAGCUUGCUCUUACGGGUGGCGAGUGGCGGACGGGUGAGGAAUACAUCGGAAUCUACUUUUUCGUGGGGGAUAACGUAGGGAAACUUACGCUCAUACAGCAUACGACCUACGGGUGAAAGCAGGGGAUCUUCGGACCUUGCGCGAUUGAAUGAGCCGAUGUCGGAUUAGCUAGUUGGCGGGGUAAAGGCCCACCAAGGCGACGAUCCGUAGCUGGUCUGAGAGGCUGAUCGGCCACACGAGAGCUGGAACACGGUCCAGACUCCUACGGGAGGCAGCAGUGGGGAAUAUUGGACAAUGGGCGCAAGCCUGAUCCAGCCAUACCGCGUGGGUGAAGAAGGCCUUCGGGUUGUAAAGCCCUUUUGUUGGGAAAGAAAAGCAGCAGGUUAAUACCCCGCUGUUCUGACGGUACCCAAAGAAUAAGCACCGGCUAACUUCGUG